Molecule: ribosomal RNA, 1469 nt
Filed under: metagenome
Description: bacterial SSU rRNA
Rfam family: Bacterial small subunit ribosomal RNA
Source: RNAcentral
AGAGUUUGAUCCUGGCUCAGGAUGAACGCUAGCGGCAGGCCUAAUACAUGCAAGUCGAACGGUAAAUAUUUAGCAAUAAAUAUGAGAGUGACGUACGGGUGCGUAACACGUAUGCAACCUACCCUUUACAGGCGGACAGCUCGGGGAAACUCGAAUUAACCCGCCGUAAUAUAAUUGGAUGGCAUCAUUUGAUUAUUAAAUCUACGGAGGUAAAGGAUGGGCAUGCGUCUGAUUAGUUAGUUGGCGGGGUAACGGCCCACCAAGACGAUGAUCAGUAGGGGAACUGAGAGGUUGAUCCCCCACACUGGCACUGAGAUACGGGCCAGACUCCUACGGGAGGCAGCAGUAGGGAAUAUUGGUCAAUGGAUGGAAGUCUGAACCAGCCAUGCCGCGUGCAGGAAGAAGGCCUUCUGGGUUGUAAACUGCUUUUGCCAGGGGAUAAAAUGACCUUGCGAGGUUAAUUGAAGGUACCUGGUGAAUAAGCCACGGCUAACUACGUGCCAGCAGCCGCGGUAAUACGUAGGUGGCAAGCGUUGUCCGGAUUUAUUGGGUUUAAAGGGUGCGUAGGCGGCUUAUUAAGUCAGUGGUGAAAUACUCUAGCUCAACUAGAGGGGUGCCAUUGAUACUGAUGAGCUUGAGUACAGAUGAGGUAGGCGGAAUUGACGGUGUAGCGGUGAAAUGCUUAGAUAUCGUCAAGAACACCUAUAGCGAAGGCAGCUUACUAGGCUGUAACUGACGCUGAGGCACGAAAGUGUGGGGAUCAAACAGGAUUAGAUACCCUGGUAGUCCACACUGUAAACGUUGAUUACUCGCUGUGUGCGAUAUACAGUACGCGGCCAAGCGAAAGCGAUAAGUAAUCCACCUGGGGAGUACGCCGGCAACGGUGAAACUCAAAGGAAUUGACGGGGUCCGCACAAGCGGUGGAGCAUGUGGUUUAAUUCGAUGAUACGCGAGGAACCUUACCUGGACUAGAAUGCCCUUGACCGAUCCAGAGAUGGAUUUUUCCGCAAGGACAAGGAGCAAGGUGCUGCAUGGCCGUCGUCAGCUCGUGCCGUGAGGUGUUGGGUUAAGUCCCGCAACGAGCGCAACCCCUAUUUUUAGUUGCCAACAGGUUAAGCUGGGGACUCUAAAAAGACUGCCCGCGCAAGCGGAGAGGAAGGAGGGGACGACGUCAGGUCAUCAUGGCCCUUACGUCCAGGGCUACACACGUGCUACAAUGGCGUAUACAGAGUGUUGCAAACCAGCGAUGGUAAGCCAAUCACAAAAAGUACGUCUCAGUUCGGAUUGCAGGCUGCAACUCGCCUGCAUGAAGUUGGAAUCGCUAGUAAUCGCGCAUCAGCAAUGGCGCGGUGAAUACGUUCCCGGACCUUGUACACACCGCCCGUCAAGCCAUGAGAGUCGGGAGGACCUGAAGGCAGUUGCUGUAAGGCGCUGUUAGGGUUAAACCGAUGAUUAGGGCUAAGUCGUAA